This 297-nucleotide ribosomal RNA is filed under the name Clostridioides difficile. RNAcentral's name for it is "partial 23S ribosomal RNA". It matches the Rfam family "Bacterial large subunit ribosomal RNA", at positions 1939 to 2237 of the family's 2925-position model. Lineage: Bacteria; Bacillati; Bacillota; Clostridia; Peptostreptococcales; Peptostreptococcaceae. The record is from RNAcentral.
ACUAUAAGUCCUGAGGUAGCGAAAUUCCUUGUCGGGUAAGUUCCGACCCGCACGAAAGGCGUAACGAUUUGGGCACUGUCUCAACAACAGACUCGGUGAAAUUGUAAUUCCGGUGAAGAUGCCGGAUACCGGCGACAGGACGGAAAGACCCCAUGGAGCUUUACUGUAGCUUGACAUUGGGUCUUGGUACUACAUGUACAGGAUAGGUGGGAGGCUUUGAAACCAGGACGCCAGUUUUGGCGGAGCCAUCCUUGGGAUACCACCCUUGUAGUACUGGGACUCUAACCAUAGGCCAUG